GACGAACGCUGGCGGCGUGCUUAACACAUGCAAGUCGAACGGAAAGGCCCUGCUUUUGUGGGGUGCUCGAGUGGCGAACGGGUGAGUAACACGUGAGUAACCUGCCCUUGACUUUGGGAUAACUUCAGGAAACUGGGGCUAAUACCGGAUAGGAGCUCCUGCUGCAUGGUGGGGGUUGGAAAGUUUCGGCGGUUGGGGAUGGACUCGCGGCUUAUCAGCUUGUUGGUGGGGUAGUGGCUUACCAAGGCUUUGGCGGGUAGCCGGCCUGAGAGGGUGACCGGCCACAUGGGGACUGCGAUACGGCCCAGACUCCUACGGGAGGCAGCAGUGGGGAAUAUUGCACAAUGGGCGGAAGCCUGAUGCAGCAACGCCGCGUGCGGGAUGACGGCCUUCGGGUUGUAAACCGCUUUCGCCUGUGACGAAGCGUGAGUGACGGUAAUGGGUAAAGAAGCACCGGCUAACUACGUG
This 468-nucleotide ribosomal RNA is filed under the name uncultured bacterium. RNAcentral describes it as "partial 16S ribosomal RNA". It matches the Rfam family "Bacterial small subunit ribosomal RNA", at positions 28 to 507 of the family's 1533-position model. The record is from RNAcentral.